GGAGAUAGUGUGUAGCAAAUGAGGAUAUGAUUUUCUCUGAUAUGAUAUAUGUUUCUGAAUAUAUGAAAUAUUGUUCUGAUAAUUACAUAAUUGCAUGUUAUAAGUAAAAUUUUGUAUGUGGGCCAAGUCACACACUGGGCUUCUAGCUCAUUCGUUUGUUUUGAUGCCUUUCAGGUGAUCCUCAGACUUAGGAUUUGGUAAUGUUUUCGGAGCUCGGUUCAGACACUUUAAAUUUAAAGUAUGUUUUGAAUUUAUUAUGG
RNAcentral lists this long non-coding RNA (260 nucleotides) under Gossypium barbadense (sea-island cotton). RNAcentral describes it as "long non-coding RNA (GBAR_LNC011445)". The record is from RNAcentral. Lineage: Eukaryota; Viridiplantae; Streptophyta; Magnoliopsida; Malvales; Malvaceae.